UACGUAGGUCCCGAGCGUUGUCCGGAUUUAUUGGGCGUAAAGCGAGCGCAGGUGGUUUAUUAAGUCUGGUGUAAAAGGCAGUGGCUCAACCAUUGUAUGCAUUGGAAACUGGUAGACUUGAGUGCAGGAGAGGAGAGUGGAAUUCCAUGUGUAGCGGUGAAAUGCGUAGAUAUAUGGAGGAGCACCGGUGGCGAAAGCGGCUCUCUGGCCUAUAACUGACACUGAGGCUCGAAAGCGUGGGGAGCAAACAGG
This 252-nucleotide ribosomal RNA is filed under the name uncultured bacterium. Its description in RNAcentral is "partial 16S ribosomal RNA". It matches the Rfam family "Bacterial small subunit ribosomal RNA", at positions 524 to 776 of the family's 1533-position model. The record is from RNAcentral.